This 67-nucleotide transfer RNA is filed under the name Marmota monax (woodchuck). RNAcentral's name for it is "tRNA.Ala". The record is from RNAcentral. Lineage: Eukaryota; Metazoa; Chordata; Mammalia; Rodentia; Sciuridae.
GGUUGUAGCUCAGCGGUAGAGUGCUUGCCUUGCAUGUGUGAAGCCCUGGGUUCGAUCCUUAGCACCA